GAGGGGUGAUGCUGAAGACCGAACCUGUGAGGUCACUGACAAAGCAACAACUACAGGUGUGUGUGGGUGUGUGUGGGUGUGUAUGGCUUUCUAUGUUUGUCAUUAUAUGUGUGGAAUGGUGUUUUUGUGUGUGUGUGUGUGUGUAUGUGUGCGUGCGUGCGUGCGUGCGUUUGUGUGAGUGAAUAAGAGAGAGAAAGGGUGUGUGUGUGUGUGUGUGUGUGUGUGUGUGUGUGUGUGUGUGUGUGUGUGUGUGUGUGUGUGUGUGUGUGUGUGUAUGUGUAUGUGUAUGUGUAUGUGUAUGUGUGUGUGUAUGUGUGUGUGUGUGUUUGUGUGGGUAUGUGUGUUUGUUUGGGCUUGUGUGCCUGUGUUCAGUUUGGGAUUUGUGUGCGUACCAUGCACACACUGAUACUGUGUAUGCACCUUGUGCAUAAGUCUGACUCUGGAUCUUUUACAGUUUCAGAAGACCGAAUCCCACAAAAAGCAGAGACGGCUGGCAGAAAGAAAACGGACACCACGGAGACACUCCAAGAGGACGACCUUCUGAUUGACAGCGUGCGAAGCAGACGCAAGGCCGCGCGACUGUCUCGCGUGAAAGAUUUGCUGCGUGAGCGCAGUCCACUGCAGAACUCACAUGCCCCCGCUGGUCCUCAUCAGAACCAUCACCACCCCACACCCGUUCUGGGAGCAACCUCAGACGGUUCCACCGUGGUUCCUCCUCGCCAGAAACUGGCCGCCGAGGGCCCCAAGGCCUUACCCACUUACCACCAGAUACCUCUGCUGACACUGGACUGGACGAGCGACAACCCACAGGUCUGGCCUACCAACGAGAUGGAGGAACUCUGGAGCGGCGUAAAGACCCAGAACGUUGAGUCAAAACCCUCAACGGAAGGGGGAACACCGUCCAAAGGUGAUCCGAAGAAGGCCUUCAUCGAUGCCAAAGUCGAAUGUGGCGUCGGGGAAGGUACGCCGUCCGUGUGUGACAUUUGGCAGAGCUUCAUCGACGGCGGCGAUCACAGCGAUCACUCCGGCGUUCCGGAAUCCGCGUGGUUGCAGAAGGCCACGUCGAUGUCCCCCUCGGAACAGCGAGUGGUGGACCCCGGAACGCCGAGCACACCGGCUGCACCCCAGUCACCUCAAACGCCCCCGGACAUGCCCCACCGUACAACGACACCCUCCACCAUCUCCAAGGGGCUGCCGGUGUCGGUGUCACGCGCUGACGGUCCGGCCCGGCACGCCAACUCCCAGGAGAGGCAGCCAGCAGCGCGGGCGUGGGUCGGAUCUCAUGACAUGACACUGAGGCCAGAGGGGAGCUCCGUGACAGAAACUCCUGAGGAAGAGGUGCCAAGCAGGGCAGGAACAGCCUCCACAACAGCUGAGGACGACAACGAAGGCUCAGAGGAUGGCUUAGGGACUCGGCAGCCCGAGCAUGUCGCGCCGGACACGGGAGGCACCGAAGGCGUAAGAGAACAAAAAGGAGGAGGAGGAGGAGGAGGAGGAGGAGGAGGAGGAGGAGAUGGAGGAGUGAGAGAGCCGCUCAGAGACUCUACGGGCGACAGGAUAACGAGCUCUGGGGAGAGGGGGACAACAGAGAUGACAGUGGCGGCGGUGUCUCAGAAUGCCAGCGCCUGUGAUAGGAUCUCACGGGGAGCGGUGCCCGGCGAGGGUCUUUCUCAAAGCGGUGGGGAAGGGGAGGAAGAACAAGGGGUUAGCGGUAUCGUACGCAACUCGGGAUACGACGCGCUGGCAUUUAGGGAGGCAUUCAAAGGACAGGGGACAAAGGGCCGCACGGGUUCGGUGUUGUCCCCAUUCAGACGAGGAGGAAGCGCAGGAGGAGGGAGUGGUGGAGAAGGAGGAGGUGAUGGAGGAGGAGGUGGAGGAGGAGAGGAGGAAGUGAGGCUCACAAUGCCUGACGCAGAAGGAAAAGGAUAUACAGGGGAGGAGAUAUUUAGGCCACGGGACACAGUGAAUACUGAACGCUCCCAGAGGGAAGCAGGUGAUAAGGAUUGUGAGGGAUUCAGGCCAAAUAAAGAGAGCGGAACGGCAUUGAAACACAAAGGAACACAGCAUGGAGAAGCAGCGCCGCACACGGAUGCAUUUGAGGUGGAUGAGUCGAGAGCGUGUGAUACAAAAUCAACACAAAGCCACGUGAAUGCGAAGCCUUUAGACCAUGACAUGUCAGCACACUGUGACACCAGAACAAACGGCACGUUCCACCGAAAAGAGGAAAAGGUGGUCGGUGUACAACAUGGAACGAGUAACGACGGUGCUUUGAGGCAUAAGUGUGUUGAAGUGGAUCUCAACCAAGAGGUUAAAGAAGAUUCACCGCCAAACAAUGAAAACUCUCUCCAAGCAGACUCAUUUGAAACAGAUCUGGGGAUGGAAGCCAAGGACCUCACAUUGUUGUAUUCACCUGACCACCGGUUAGACCCGAUUACACAAGAUAAAGAGCAACGCAUUCAGGGUGAGAACCCAGGCAUGGAGGUGUUGACCAAGGACCUGAUCUCCACUGAACCAGAGCUAUCAACCUCAAGUAGAACAGAGGACCGAGUUAGCGAGAAUAACGACACAAAACUAUCGCCCCUCAAACAGGAGUCGUGUGGGUUAAUAGACACAGAUAACACACUGAUAAAAUACACAUCAGUGCAAACACAGCCAGAGGUUUUGAGCGACAAACCAUCAUUAAAAGGUCUUGAAGAUGAAACAGGUACAGGAAGAGACGUUGGGGACGGCGAAGGAAUCAAACAGUUUCAGACGGACGAUCACAGAACCGGCCUCUCACACGCAUCAAAACACAAAGGAACACACCAUGGAGAAGCAGCUCCGCACACAGAUGCAUUUGAGGUGGAUGAGUCGAGAGCGUGUGAUACAAAAUCAACACGAAGCCACGUGAAUGCGAGGCCUUUAGACCAUGACAUGUCAGCACACUGUGACACCAGAACAGAGGACACGUUCCAAAGAAGAGAUAGAAAGGUGGAUGGUGUACUAAAUGGAACGAGUAACGACGGUGCUUUGAGGCAUAAGUGUGUUGAAGUGGAUCUCAACCAAGAGGUCAAAGAAGAUUCACCGCCAAACAAUGAAAACUCUCUCCAACCAGGCUCAUUUGAAACAGAUCUGGGGAUGGAAGCCAAGGACCUCACAUUGUUGUAUUCACAACCACCUGACCACCGGUUAGAACCGAUUACGCAAGAUAAAGAGCGACGCAUGCAGAGUGAGAACCCAGGCAUGGAGGCGUGGACCAAGGACCUGAUCUCCACUGAACUGAGGCCAUCAACCUCAAGUCCAACAGAGGAAGGAGCUAGAGAGAACAACAACGCAAAACUCUCGCCCCUCAAACAGGAAUCGUGUGACACAAAAUCUACACAAAGCCACGUGAAUGCGAAUGACAUGUCAUUGCUCUGUGACACCACAGCAGAGGACAAGUUCCAGAGAAAAGGGAGAAAGGUGGACGGUUUACAACAUGGAACGAGUAACGACGGUGCUUUGAGGCAGAAGUGUGUUGAAGCGGAUCGCAACCAAGAGGUCAAAGAAGGAAGCGAUUCACUGCCAAACAAUGGAAACUCUCUCCAACCAGACUCAUUGGAAGCAGAUCAGAUGGAAGUGAAGUACCACACGUUGAUGUAUUCAGAAGCACCAGAAUACCGGUUAGACCCGAUGGAGAAAGAUAAAGAGCCACAAGUUCAGAGUGAGGUGAAGAACCCAGUUCAGGAGGUGAUGACCAAGGAUCCGACCUCCGGUGAACCAGGGUCAUUAAGGUCAAGUCCAACAGAGGAAGGGGCUAGAGAGAACAGCGACGCAAAACUAUCAGCCCUCAAACAGGAGUCGGGUCGAGUGAUGGACACAGAUAACAUACAGAUGAAAUACACACCAGUGCAAAUGCAAGGAGAGGUUUCUGGCGACAUCCCUACGUUAAAAGGUCUUCAAGUUGACAAAGCUCCAAAAAGAGAUGAGGGGGAAGGCCUAGAAAUCAAACUGGUUCAAACUGGUUCAAAGUGUUUCAAAGAAGGAAGAGAUUCACGGCCAAACAAUGAAAACCCUCUCCUACCAGACUCAUUGGAAGCAGAUCUGGGGAAGGAAGCCAAGGACCUCACAUUGAUGUAUUCAGAAGCACCUGACCACCGGUUGAACCCGAUUACGCAAGAUAAAGAGCAACGCAUUCAGGCAGAGAACCCAGGCAUGGAGGUGUUGACCAAGGACCUGAUCUCCAUUGAACCAGAGCUAUCAACCUCAAGUCCAACAGAGGAAGGAUCUAGCGAGAAUAACAAAGCAGAACUAUCGCCCCUCAAACAAGAGUCGGUUGGAGUAAUAGACACAGAUAACACACUGAUAAAACACACAUCAGUGCAAACGCAAGGAGUGGUUCUGAGCGACAUCCGUUCAUUUAAAGGUCUUGAAAGUGAACUGGCUGCGAGAAGAGAUGAGGGGAAAGGAGAAGAAAUGAAAUUAUUUCCAAUGGAAGAUUACAAACACGGCCCCUCGCACGAUUUAAAACACAAAAUAGCACAUGUUGGAGAAGUAGCGCCACACACAGAUGCAUUUGAGGUGGAUGAGUCGAGAGCGCGUGAUACAAAAUCAACACAAAGCCACGUGAAUGCGAAGCCUUCAGACCAUGACAUGUCAGCACUCUGUGACACCACAGCAGAGGACACGUUCCAGAGAGAAGAGCGGAAGGUGGACGGUGUACAACAUGGAACGAGUAACGACGGUGUUUUGAGGCAGAAGUCUGUCGAAGUGGAUCUUAACCAAGAGGUUAAAGAAGGAAGAGAUUCACGGCCAAACCAUGAAAACUCUCUACAACCAGACUCAUUGGAAACAGAUCUGGGGAAGGAAACCAAGGACCUCACGUUGCUGUAUUCAGAAGCACCUGACCGCCAGUUAGAACCGAUGGCACAAGAUAAAGAGCCACACGUUCAGAGCAAGAACCCAGGCAUGGAGGUGUUGACCAAGGACCUGAUCUCCACUGAAAUGAGGCCAUCAACCUCAAGUCCAACAGAGGGAGGAGCUAGCAAGAAUUACGACGCAAAACUAUUGCCCCUCAAACAGGAGUCGUGUGUAGUAAAGGACACAGAUAACAUACAGAUAAAAUGCACAUCAGUGCAAACACAAGGAGAGGUUUCUAGCGACAUCCCUUCAUUAAAAGAUCUUGAAGUUGAGACGGCUACAAAAAGAGAUGAGGGGGAAGGCCUGGAAAUCAAACUCUUUCAAACUGGUUCAAAGUGUCUCAAAGAAGGAAGAGAUUCACCGCGAAACAAUGGAAACUCUCUCCUACCAGACUCAUUUGAAACAGAUUUGAUGGAAGCGAAGUACCACACGUUGAUGUAUUCAGAAGCACCUGACCUCCGGUUGGACCCGAAAGAGAAAGAGCCACAAGUUCAGAGUGAGGUGAAGAACUCAGUUCAGGAGGUGAUGACCAAGGAUCCAACCUCCAGUGAACCGGGGUCAUUAACGCCACGUCGAACAGAGGAAGGAGCUAGAGAGAACAGCGACGCAAAACUAUCAGCCCUCAAACAGGAGUUGGGUCGAGUGAUGGACACGGAUAACAUACAGAUAAAAUACACACCAGCGCAAAUGCAAGGAGAGGUUUUGAGCGACAAGCCCUCAUUAAAUGGUCUUGAAGUUGAAACGGCGACAAAGAAAUAUGAGGGGGAAGGCCUAAAAAUCAAGCUCGUUCAGACGGACGAUCAUAAACCCGGCCCCUCAUACACAUUAAAAACCAAAGGAACGUAUCAUGGAGAAGCAGCGCCAUGCACAGAUGCAUUUGAGGUGGAUGAGUCGAGAGCGCAUGAUAUAAAAUCAACACAAAGCAAAGUGAAUGCGAAGCCUUUACACCAUGACAUGUCAGCACUCUGUGACACCAGAACAAACGGCACGUUCCACCGAAUAGAAAGGAAGGUGGACGGUGUACAACAUGGAAUAAGUAACGACGGUGCUUUGGGACUGAAGUGUGUUGAAGUGGAUCUCAACCAAGAGGUUAAAGAAGAUUCACCGCCAAACAAUGAAAACUCUCUCCAAGCAGACUCAUUUGAAACAGAUCUGGGGAUGGAAGCCAAGGACCUCACAUUGUUGUAUUCACAACCACCUGACCACCGGUUAGACCCGAUUACACAAGAUAAAGAGCAACGCAUUCAGGGUGAGAACCCAGGCAUGGAGGUGUUGACCAAGGACCUGAUCUCCACUGAACUGAGGCUAUCAACCUCAAGUAGAACAGAGGACCGAGCUAGCAAGAAUAACGACACAAAACUAUCGCCCCUCAAACAGGAGUCGUGUGGGGUAAUAGACACAGAUAACACACUGAUAAAAUACACAUCAGUGCAAACACAGCCAGAGGUUUUGAGCGACAAGCCCUCAUUAAAAGGACUUGAAGAUGAAACAGGUACAGGAAGAGACGUUGGGGAUGGCGAAGGAAUCAAACAGUUUCAGACGGACGAUCACAGAACCGGGUCCUCACACGCAUCAAAACACAAAGGAACACAUCAUGGAGAAGCAGCGCCGCACACGGAUGCAUUUGAGGUGGAUGAGUCGAGAGCGUGUUAUACAAAAUCAACACAAAGCCACGUGAAUGCGAAUGACAUGUCAUCGCUCUGUGACACCACAGCAGAGGACACGUUCCAGAGAAAAGGGAGAAAGGUGGACGGUGUACAACAUGGAACGAGUAACGACGGUGCUUUGAGGCAGAAGUGUGUUGAAGCGGAUCGCAACCAAGAAGUCAAAGAAGGAAGAGAUUCACUGCCAAACAAUGGAAACUCUCUCCAACCAGACUCAUUGGAAACAGAUCUGGGGAAGGAAACCAAGGACCUCACGUUGAUGUAUUCAGAAGCACCUGACCACCGGUUAGAACCGAUGGCACAAGAUAAAGAGCAACACAUUCAGAGUGAGAACCCAGGCAUGGAGGUGUUGACCAAGGACCUGAUCUCCAUUGAACCGGGGCUAUCAACCUCAAGUCCAACAGAGGAAGGAGCUACAGAGAAUAACGACACAAAACUAUCGCCCCUCAAAAAGGAAUCGUGUGGGGUAAUAGACACAGAUAACACACUGAUAAAAUACACAUCAGUGCAAACACAAGGAGAGGUUUCUAGCGACAUCCCUUCAUUAAAAGGUCUUGAAGUUGACACGGCUACAAAAAGAGAUGAGGGGGAGGGCCUACAAAUCAAACUGUUUCAAUCUGUUUCAAACUGUUCCAAAGAAGGAAGAGAUUCACUGCCAAACAAUGAAAACUCUCUCCUGCCAGACUCAUUGGAAACAGAUCUGGGGAAGGAAACCAAGGACCUCACGUUGAUGUAUUCAGAAGCACCUGACCACCAGUUAGACCCGAUUGCGCAAGAUAAAGAGCAACACAUUCAGAGUGAGAACCCAGGCAUGGAGGUGUUGACCAAGGACCUAAUAUCCACUGAACCGGGGCUAUCGACCUCAAGUCCAACAGAGGAAGGAGCUAGGGAGAAAAACGAAAUUAAACUAUCGCCCCUGAGACAGGAGUCUGUUGGAGUAAUGGACACAGAUAGCACACGGAUAAAAUGCACAUCAGCGGAAACACAAGGAGUUGUUCUGAGUUACAAGCCUUCAUUAAAAGGUCUUGAAGGUGAAACUGGUACGAGAAGAGACGAUCACCAACCCAGACACUCAAACGCAACAGACUCAAAGUGUAAGAAAUUGGCUGAUAUAUAUCUAAAGUGCGAGGAAAGGGACAAUCGCGCGGUCGGUGGCAUCACACCACCCGAUGACAUUUUCCAGGAGACGCCGGCGACGACGAGUGGCGUUCCGAGGGAUCCUCGACCACCACCUGAGACCUCGGAAGUUGACGUGGGGGACGGAGAUGGGGAGCGAGGGACGGAAGAGGGGCAAACAGAGGCUAUCACGGAGGGGUGUCGGACAGAGAAGGAUCAAACACCUGAGGAACGGAAGCGACGAAAGGUGUCGCUCCGAGCGGAUGGCCCUUCACCAGAGGAAUUCAAGGGGGGGAUGGAAGACGCUGUAAUCGCAGAGGAUAGAGUGUCGUUUGAGUGCAUGAUAGCGCCAGGUGAGGAGAUUGGCACUGUCGCAGGUGGAAUUGGUGAGGAGUCAGAUAAAGGAGUUUCAGAGGAGGUGUUAAAUUGGAAAGGUGUCAUGGGUGGCUCAGGAGACAUGAAGGGAGUAAGUGGUGGCGCAUCGCAAGCCGUCACGGCGGAGAAACAGAUCCCUGAUGUCUUUUCCGCCACGAAUUUGCCAGAAGAUUCCCAAUUGCAGACAACUUCCUCUCAAGGCAUCAUGCAAGAUUUGGUGACUGACGAGGAUAGUUGUGACCUUGUUAACAUCGUAGACACAGUUGGUUUCAAUGAAUCACAGAGAGAUCUCAAUUCACAGGAUUAUUCCAAGCAACACCUUCACCAAAUAGCCAUCAAAGAAAAUAAUGAACCCCACAUGACACAGAGUCGACUGCCCGCAGCCAAAACAACACAUGUUUCCCAGUCCUCUGAUCCAACUCUGAACUUUAUGCCGAAGGACGAUGGAUUAAUCACUGAACAGCGUGUAUCACCACGGUUACGUCAGACCCAACAGCGCUCCAUGAAGAAGAAUCUGGAAACCGUCAAGAAGGACGGGGCAGACUCUGACCAGGAGCCAUGUCACCAAUUAGACGAUCAAACAGUUUUGCAGCCAAAAAAGUUCAACCAAUCAACAGCUCAAUUUGAGGACCGAGUCAAUUCUUCCCCGCAGAAGAGAUGGUGUACCGCCUUUCGCGGCCCACGUGUGACAAUAACUUUGGUUGGUGCCAUUCUGUUCACAUUAUUCUUCCUUUAUGGGCCGCAUUUGGCUUAGCAGACAUAGUGGGUUGACUUGUAACCGGAAGGUUGCCAGUUCGAUUCCCUAGUCCCUCCUAGCUGAGCGUUGAGGUGUCCCUGAGCAAGACACCUCACCCUGACCGCACCCGAUGAGCUGGCUGUCUCCUUGUCUGGCUGACUCCGCCAUCGGUGGAUGAAUGUGUGCAUGAAUGGGUGAAUGUUAGGCGAUAUUGUAAAGCGCUUUGAGUGGCCACCGGUUGAAAAGCCCUCUAUGAAUGCAGUCCAUUCAUCAUUUAUGGUUUCCAAAAAUGCGCUGCUCUGUAUAUACUUUCCUUGUGCUUAUUUUUAUUUGUGCUUAUUGUUUUCAGUGGAGGAGGCAGGAUGCAUUGGUUGAAAGGGAAUGUGUGACAGACUUAGGAGUGUCUGUUUCUUUGUGUGUGUGGCAUGUUAGAUUCACUGUUCACUUUAACCUGCACAGAGUAUAUUUUGUUGUUGACAGAUGAUUGUGCCAUUUUUUUAUUUCAAUGAAACCGUUUGAAAGAAAAUUUCCACAGGUCUUUAUACAGGGGUUUCAAAAGUCUCAGUGCACGUUUUGCCUUGCUCAAAGUUUGUUCUAUAAAACUGGGUGGUCACAAGUAGUUAUCUUGCACAUGUAAAUCAACUGUAUACAAUCCAUAGGCAUUGUAUGCAAUGCGAUUAUUUUUAGGUUGCGGCAGAUGUAUGCACGAGUGAAUUGGUUUUCGUUCAGUGAGAACUAGCUGAGCAUUACGAAAACAUAUUGAUAACCAUUUCAUGUUGAGUAUUUGUUUUUGAUGUUGUGAUACAUGUAUGAUAGGUUUCCUUUUACGCGUCGAACGUUUGCGAGUUCUCUUAGUGAUGUUGUGAAAGCAAAGUUAAGUAGUGUGUUAUGAAAGUGCGUUAUGUAUUUGUUAUGGGUCCAAUAUAACAUCUGGUAUACAUAACUCACCAAAAGGGAAAAGUGGCAAUGUAAUAUAUUUAGAUAAUGGUGUUUUUUGGUGCUGUUCUGGCUUUUCCUUUAUUAAAUGAGCACAACUCUCACAGACUGCAGGCACUUGUUUCUCGUCUCAAUGGCAGCUUACAACAAAAACAAUGGAAAUUUUGAUACUUUCCCACUGUUACUAAAUGACAGAGAUACAGAUAUUGACGCAAUCAAUC
Molecule: long non-coding RNA, 9926 nt
Filed under: Gadus morhua (Atlantic cod)
Lineage: Eukaryota; Metazoa; Chordata; Actinopteri; Gadiformes; Gadidae
Description: lncRNA (ENSGMOG00000027000.1)
Source: RNAcentral